AGCGAACGCUGGCGGCAGGCUUAACACAUGCAAGUCGAGCGCCGUAGCAAUACGGAGCGGCAGACGGGUGAGUAACACGUGGGAACGUACCUUUUGGUUCGGAACAACACAGGGAAACUUGUGCUAAUACCGGAUAAGCCCUUACGGGGAAAGAUUUAUCGCCGAAAGAUCGGCCCGCGUCUGAUUAGCUAGUUGGUGAGGUAACGGCUCACCAAGGCGACGAUCAGUAGCUGGUCUGAGAGGAUGAUCAGCCACACUGGGACUGAGACACGGCCCAGACUCCUACGGGAGGCAGCAGUGGGGAAUAUUGGACAAUGGGCGCAAGCCUGAUCCAGCCAUGCCGCGUGAGUGAUGAAGGCCCUAGGGUUGUAAAGCUCUUUUGUGCGGGAAGAUAAUGACUGUACCGCAAGAAUAAGCCCCGGCUAACUUCGUGCCAGCCGCCGCAGUAA
Molecule: ribosomal RNA, 449 nt
Filed under: uncultured bacterium
Lineage: Bacteria
Description: partial 16S ribosomal RNA
Rfam family: Bacterial small subunit ribosomal RNA
Source: RNAcentral